RNAcentral lists this ribosomal RNA (445 nucleotides) under Kamptonema animale. RNAcentral describes it as "bacterial SSU rRNA". It matches the Rfam family "Bacterial small subunit ribosomal RNA", at positions 1087 to 1533 of the family's 1533-position model. Lineage: Bacteria; Bacillati; Cyanobacteriota; Cyanophyceae; Oscillatoriales; Microcoleaceae. The record is from RNAcentral.
CCGCAACGAGCGCAACCCUCGUUUUUAGUUGCCAGCAUUAAGUUGGGCACUCUAAAGAGACUGCCGGUGACAAACCGGAGGAAGGUGGGGAUGACGUCAAGUCAGCAUGCCCCUUACGUCCUGGGCUACACACGUACUACAAUGGUAGGGACAGAGGGCAGCCAACUCGCGAGAGUGAGCUAAUCCCGUAAACCCUGCCUCAGUUCAGAUCGCAGGCUGCAACUCGCCUGCGUGAAGGCGGAAUCGCUAGUAAUCGCCGGUCAGCAUACGGCGGUGAAUCCGUUCCCGGGCCUUGUACACACCGCCCGUCACACCAUGGAAGUUGGCCAUGCCCGAAGUCGUUACUCUAACCGUAAGGAGGAGGAUGCCGAAGGCAGGGCUGAUGACUGGGGUGAAGUCGUAACAAGGUAGCCGUACCGGAAGGUGUGGCUGGAUCACCUCCUUU